AAAUCCACCUCCAUCUCAGUUUUCCACUCCUGUGAGUAUGACUGUUUUAGUUUGUAUGUUCAUGCUUAGGGUCAAACCACUGCACUAAUUGAAACCUAGUAGAGUAUGAAAGUUUUCGUUAAAUAUAAUAUAUAUUUAUCUUGUCUCACACAUGCAAUGCCUUUUCAUUUUUGCAGAAUCAAUCGGCGGCAUCGAAUGAUCCUCAUGUUUCACCAACUGAGCCUAAUUGCGUGCGUCGUUUGUGAACUUAUUUGUGAGAUAUGUAUUGUUGGUGAUAUAUUGUGAUCUUUGUGAACUUAUUUGUGAGACAUGUGAACUUAUUUGUGAGACAUGUGAACUUAUUUGUGUUGUUGUUGCUUUACAUGUGAUGUUGAUGAUAUGUAUGUGGUGUUUGAUAUGUAUUUUCUGUCUGUUUGGAUGGAAUAUAUAAAAAUAAAUAAAAAAGGUGGCUCUGGUCAUUUUGUCUAGUGUUGCACUCGGCAAAGAGGGUCUUUGCCGAGUGCAAUAACCAUAGUACUCGGCCAGCUAAGAAGCGCGGGUAGCCUAGAAACACACUUUGCCUAGUGCUGCACUCGGCAAAGGAGCCGCCUCUGCCUAGUGCUGCGCUCGGUAACGGAGAUGCCUCUGCCUAGUGCUGCACUAGGCAAAGCCUCCGUUACCGUGCUUCCCGCCGUCAUGGAAACUUUUCUUCGCCGAGUGAUGUGUGGCACUAGGCAAAGUUUUUGUUGAGUGCUCGAAAAAUGGCACUCAACAAAGACACUUUGUCGAUCCCUUCGUUGUCGACUUCUUUUUGUCGAGUGCAACACUAGGCAAAGCAUUUGCCGAGUGUAAAAGAGGCUUUGCCUAGUGUCUGUGGCACUAGGCAAAGAAGACGAGUCCUACAAUGAUGUGUAUCAGAACGAAGUAGGAGAUUAAUGUAGAUACAAACCAUAGCCGAUUACAAAUAAGAAUUGUGGUCAUUUCGAUGUGCUUUAGCACGACAUGGCAAAACACAUAGUGAAGUCAUAAAAGGUCAACACAAAUUCAGCAAACAGUCACUAUAAAAACACAAGUGAUUCAUCAUAGUUUGCAAAAUUGUGUUGUACGGAUAACAAUGAGUUCUGUACUUUGUGGAUUAUUGAUGAACUUUUUGCAGUAUUGGGCAUACAGAGCAUAAAACUGACACUAAUUGUGUGCUGGACAUUCAUGCAAAACAAACAACAUUAGUUUCUUUUAUUCAAGUGGUUGAGACAAAAAAUGUUGUAGUAUCAAGUCUUUUCUGUUUUUAUCAAAGUGUUCUUAGGAAGAUAUCCCUAUGAACAACCACAUAUGAUUGUUGCUCCAUAUUUUUGUGCACCAUGUUGAAUUCGAUAUAUUCAGUUGCUGUGUAUUGGUAUUGACCUGGCCUGACGAAUCUAUAAUUCAUUACUUUUUCUACCAUGCUCCUUUUUGUUAUCUCUGGGUAAACCUAAUUUGUGAUUGGCUUCACUUAUUUUGCUAAGAUUAUUGUUUCUUGUUUAUCAGGUGGUUGUGACUACUGUGAUUCAGGAUGAGAAGGAAUUCUUGAAUCAUAAAGCUCACAUAAAUUGUUUGCUGGACAUUCAAAAGUUGUCAUUUAGGACUUAGGAAAAAAUUGAAAAUUCAUACCUUGUGCAAACAUGGUCAAGAAUAUAUAACAUACAGUGAAGUUUCCCAUGAAUCUUUGUCAUUCUAAUUAGGACUUGACAAUUAUGAAUUUUAUUCGUGUGUACACACAUAUUGGGUACCGUCACAGGAUUUAUAUGCACAGGAACACUUGCAUUCGGACCACACUUGCAUCAAGGACAAAGCUUGCGUUUCACU
This 1821-nucleotide long non-coding RNA is filed under the name Zea mays. Its description in RNAcentral is "long non-coding RNA (ZMAY_LNC004642)". Lineage: Eukaryota; Viridiplantae; Streptophyta; Magnoliopsida; Poales; Poaceae. The record is from RNAcentral.